AUACGUAGGGGGCGAGCGUUGUCCGGAAUGAUUGGGCGUAAAGGGCGCGUAGGCGGCGCGGUAAGUCUGGAGUGAAAGUCCCGCAUUCAAUGUGGGAAUUGCUUUGGAUACUGCAGUGCUAGAGUGCGGAAGAGGUAAGUGGAAUUCCCAGUGUAGCGGUGAAAUGCGUAGAGAUUGGGAGGAACACCAGUGGCGAAGGCGACUUACUGGGCCGUAACUGACGCUGAGGCGCGAAAGCGUGGGGAGCGAACAGGAUUAGAUACCCUGGUAGUCCACGCGGUAAACGAUGAAUGCUAGGUGUUGCGGGUAUCGACCCCUGCAGUGCCGGAGUAAACACAAUAAGCAUUCCGCCUGGGGAGUACGGCCGCAAGGUUGAAACUCAAAUGAAUUGACGGGG
This 397-nucleotide ribosomal RNA is filed under the name uncultured bacterium. RNAcentral describes it as "partial 16S ribosomal RNA". It matches the Rfam family "Bacterial small subunit ribosomal RNA", at positions 523 to 918 of the family's 1533-position model. The record is from RNAcentral.